GCCCUAGGUAGAUAUACGGCCGCUGACUUUGUGCAGAAAAUAGUGGAGGGUCCAGUCAUCCCUCAUCCAUUUCCCCUGUCUCCGUUCUCGCCAUCGACAAAAGAUAGUACGAAUUUUUCCACCUGACUUCAAUCUCCCCUCACCACCGCGCCGCCUCGCCUAGAGCCAUCUCCACCGUGCCGCCGACGCGCAAGAUGGGGGAUUUUUUCACUGACAUCCAUCUCCCCCAGGCGCGGUGACUGCUCCGCCGUGCUGCCUUGCUACAGCACCACCACUCAUCUCCACCACGCCGCCGUGACGCCUGGCCUAGAGUCAUCUCCACGGUGCAGUCGACGCGCAGGCCAUGGACGCUGGGAGAACUCGAUCGCGAACGAUUCCCCGGUGUUUGGAAGAGGGCGGCUCGGCCUCCCCUGUACCCGAGUACAUCUGCUCGAUGAUACCUCCUCACGAUGAUGUCUUCCCGCGAUGAGUAGAUCUUGCCAGACCGGUGCCAGCCUCCCAAGAUCCGGACCAGAGAUACACCAUGGGAUUUAGGAUGCAAUGAUGACGACAAAAGGGAGUGUCGGCUUCUGGGAGCCGGGGAUGGGCGGAUAUCAUGUGGAUGCUGAGCUUGAAUACGGUAACGUCGACCAAGAAGAUAGUGUGUCUAGCUACUGAAGAGAGCCUCGAUCAACAAAUACCUGGCCAUGUCGACGAGGAGGAGCAUGUAGCAUGAGCAUGGGCGCCAGCGGCGUCAAGCUUGCAGCCGGGUUGGUUCCGCUCGAGGACGUCGACUCUUCAGAUAAUGGGCACCAAAGCAUCGACAAGGGCGACGACGCGGUGCUCAGCGAUGCGUCUGAAACAGCAUGCAACGACGGGUUGGCACUCGGCUCAUUUGGUUCUGCUUUGGCCGUCACACAACAGUUUCUCGUCAGUUAGCAGUUAGGCGUGAGUUACCGUUCUGAUGGUCAGUUAGCAAUGCAGACCAGGUUUUAGAUCGGGUGUUCUUCUAAUUUUACUCUGGAAUUGUCAAAGUAGUUUCACCGCAGUGUUCAGGAUGCGCUGCCGCGUGGCGGCUUCAACCCCAACAACCUCUACUCCCCGGUGUACGAGCAGCGCGAGCCAGGACCCGGUGCGGAUGGCAACCCUUUCACUGGCCGCAGGGGGCCGCUCGAAUUCGACGGCGCCGGUGCUGAGGGUGCUGAGGAAGAGGGCGGGGGUGAGGACGAGGAGGACGAUGAAGAGGAGGGGGUGGAGGACGAGGACGAGGACGAGGACGAAGAGGGCGGCGAGGAAGAAGACGAGGAGGGUGCCGGUGAAGAUGAUCUCGUGGAGGUCGACGCGGACGGCGUGAAGAAGAAAAAGAAGAAGAAGGCGUCGGGCACACGAGGCCCCAAGUGGACGGCUUUGGAGGAUCUUUGUCUGUGCGAGUCGUGGGCGACGGUGAGCCAUGACUCCAUCAUCAGCGCUAACCAAAAACAUGGGAAGUAUUGGGCGAGAAUCAAGGCCGAGUUUGAUGAGCGCAAGCUCAUCAAGAGCGACUACAACAAAGUGACAAUGAAGAGGAGCCAAAAGGCAAUGUCGACGCGAUGGGCCAUCAUCCAGGCGUCGGUGAGCUCCUUCCAUGGAUACCAUCAGGAAUUACUGAGCAGAGCCGAGAGCGGCGCCGACCUCUCCCAAAUGGUACGACUCUUUCUUCCAUAAUCUGUAGCGCCUACAUUGUGUUCGAUAAAAUGAUUCCGCUUCCUUUGGCUAGUUUGAUAGGGCCAUGGAGGUUUACGCGAGGAACUUGUUGUGAAGUGUACAAAGUAGAUUGCCUAGCCCUUUCAUCAGUUCGGACUUUUGGUUCAAGUGGCUAGUGCAUGAAGCUUAACAUGGUAUCAGAGCCCCAGGUCUCAAGUUCAAAUCCUGGCUUUCACAAUUUAUUCUAAAAAUUAUCUCUUCUCCCCCCUCUUCUCGCAGCCGCCGCCCGCCCCGGCACCGCGCCGUCCCGCGCCCGGCCGCCGCCGCUGCCUCUUUGCCUCUCUACACGUGUUGACUCUCUUCUCCCGUCACACGCGAGUGGGGGUGUUGUGAAGUGUACAAGUAGAUUGCCUAGCCCUUUCCAUCAGUUCGAACUUUUGGUUCAAGUGGCUAGUGCAUGAAGCUUAACAGAACUCAGAUGGGCAUAAGUCGUUCGAGCUGAUGCAUUGCUAUACCAAGCUCAAAGGGAAUGAGAAAUGGCGAUUGACGCGCCUAUCGCUGUCCAAGGGGAAGGACACCAUUGAUCUGGACGCGCCGUCGGCAACGUCGGCAGGGCGUCCUACUGGCAACAAGGCUGCCAAGGCCGCCUUGGCCGACGCCGCGUCGUGUGAGAAGACGCAGGCGUCGAUCACGAAAUGCCUCGCGGACGUCUCCUCGACCUUUCUCUCCCGCGCCAAAAAGAACGACGAAAGGUGGGCGGAGCUGCUCAAGAGGCAAGAGGAGAAGUUAGAGCUCAAGAAACGCAGGGACGACAUGUACCUGCUGAGAGCGUCGAUAGAGGGAAUGUCUCCCCGGACGCGGGCGGCGCACAACUUCUUCAAAGGCCAGAUCCUCGACGACAUCGAAGCCAAAAUGGCGACGGCCGACGCGGCGGUCCAGGAAGCGGCAGCGGCAGCAACUGCGGCGGAAGAGCCGGCUGCGGCGUCUUCGACUGCUACACCAUCGUCGGCCUACGCGACGGCGGCGGAGCAGACGGAGCAUGCACAUCACCAGGCAGAUCGCGGCGAGGUCAUCGUGAUCGACGGGCCUGCGUCGACUCAGGAUACGUCGCCGUCGACCAACCCCUUCUUCUAAUUUAGCAUGCACUAUAUGGUCUGUAAUAUGAUCGCGCGCCUAGUACUUUGAUCGCCGCUACUCUGAUCGCGACGAUUCGGCGGGAACGAUCUCUUUUGAAUGCAA
Molecule: non-coding RNA, 2901 nt
Organism: Lolium perenne
Lineage: Eukaryota; Viridiplantae; Streptophyta; Magnoliopsida; Poales; Poaceae
Source: RefSeq, a predicted model, not a curated record